This 3338-nucleotide long non-coding RNA is filed under the name Marmota monax (woodchuck). Lineage: Eukaryota; Metazoa; Chordata; Mammalia; Rodentia; Sciuridae. The record is from RNAcentral.
CCCAGGUUCGAUCCUCAGCACCACAUACAAAUAAAGAUGUUGUGUCUGCCGAAAACUAAAAAAUAAAUAUUAAAAUUCUCUCUCUCUCUCUCUCUCUCUCUGUUAAAAAAAAUAUUUAUUUAUUUUAGUUUUCGGUGGACACACAUCUUUGUUUGUAUGUGGUGCUGAGAUCGAACCCGGGGCCUCAGGCAUGCCAGGCGAGCGUGCUACCACUUGAGCCACAUCCCCAGCCCCUGGGAGUCACUCUUGAUGGCUUUGCUGAUAGCACCCCAUGAGUGACUUGUCCUGUGCCUAUUCCUGUCCUUUUUGCUUCUUGGCCCCCUCCCCGGGCUGCAGGUCUAGGUGAUUUCUCUCAUAUCUCUGCUUUUGCUACGAAUCCAGGUCUUCUGAGUCUCAGAACCACUCAGGCUGGUCACUCCUCAAUCACUGUCCGCCCUGGGCUCUCCAUGGCCCUUGUCCCCAGGAUGCUUGUUUCCCCUGCAGACUUGCUCCCCUUCCCUCACAGCCUUCCUUGCUCACAUUUCUCCUCUGCCCUGUGAGGGUCCUCUCUCCCUGCCCAUCCCUCAGGGGCCUCUUCUGGCUCUACAUAGCUUUCCCUGGAAGAGUUUCUCCAUACCUGACCCCUUGGCUUUGACCUGGAUGCCUGUGACCUGGUCCUGACUGCUCUUCAGUUCCAGACCCCCUUUCCUGGGUCUCUACAGGCCACAUCCCUGAGUCCACCACUGACUGUGUACCUCCCUCCUCCCCUUCCUCUUGUUGGUCCCACCUGUCUUCAUGGCCUCCGAAGACAAAAACCACGGUGUCCUUCCCAACUUUUCUUCUCACUCCUCCUAACUAGCCACUAAGCCCCACAGAAUCUCCCUUGUCCCUGCUUCAAUCUGAAAGUGGCCCUGCUUUCCCUAAGCACAACCCUCAUUCAGCCCAAUCAUUAUUGUCACAGACCUCUGCAGCUGUCUCCCAUUGUCCUUGUCACCGCCUCCUCCAAGCAGCAAUUUAAACUGACCUCUGGAUCACAUUUCCUUUGAGCAUUGAAUGUGCAGGCCCCAGGACCCCCUCCUCAGGCAGCUCAGAGAAUUCACGGGCCCCUGACUUAAAUGUCUGGCCCACUUCAGCCAGAGAGAGAGAAGUACAGUCCAGGUUCACACUUACCCUUUCACACUCACAGAACGCAGGCCUCCUCAGAAUGAAUGGGAGAGUGUCCUUGCUUUGAAUGAAACGCCAAUGAGGGACAACUUAAGCUAAUUAUCAAGUCAUGCCGGAAGCCAAAUUAUAGACAUUGUCAGGUUAUAAACACCAUUUCUCCAGAGAGCCGCUUGAAGACAUCUGGGCAGCUGGGAGGUAGCCGAGCUCAUUAUCUUCCCCUCCAACUGGCUCUGUCUUCUUGUCCCACCCAACAUGUGGGGGAAACUUUGGCCUGAGCCAGGAGUCUGCUCCCCCACCCCCUGCCCAAAGCUAAUAGGCUACAGGUAUAACGAUUCUCCCUCAAAUACCUAUCCAAUUCUUGGCCAGUACCUGCCAUGUGAAGACUUUAACAUAUGUGGCUGCAGCCUUGGGUGAGUGACUGAAUAAGUCAGAGCCUCUGUUUUAUGGAAAAACUGGAUUCUUCUUUUUUGGGGGGCGUGAUGGUACUGGGGAUCGAAUUCAGGGGCACUUGACUACAGAGCCACAUCCCCAGUACUACCUUGUAUUUUAUUUAGAGACAGUGGAGAUUUAGCUGAGAUGGAGUGUGCCAAAUAAGCCUAGUGAGGAGUUCAAACUAGCAAGUGCUGGUCCCCAUCCCCUUCUCACUCCCUCUCCUUAAUUUCUCCCAUUGCCAAGUCUGAUCCAACCACUUCCAUGGCUUCAAAAUGGUCCGUAACUCUCCAUCCUACAAGACAAAGUCCAAAUUUCUUAUCAAAGCCUUCUGCCAGGCUGGGGCUAUGACGGAGCACUUGCCUAGCAUGUGUGAGGCACUGGAUUCGAUCCUCGGCACCACAUAGAAAUAAACAAAUAAGGGCUGGGGACGUGGCUCAGUGGUAGAGCACUUGCCUGGCAUGUAUAAGGCACAGGGUUCGAUUCUCAGCACCACAUAGAAAUAAAUAAAGAUCCAUUGACAACUAAAAAAAAAUUUUAAAAAAGAAAUAAAUAAAAUAAAGGCAUGCUGUCCAUCUACAACUACAAAAAAAAGUUAAAAAAAAAAAAAGCCAUCUGCCUUUUGAGUUCUAGUUCCUGCCUGUCCUCCUUCUUGUGGUUCAGCUACACUAGCCUCCUUUAUACAUUUCUUUAAAGCACAGUCAUGCCAAAGACUGUGAAGGAAGAAAGUGCAACAUCUUGAUGGAGGGAUUGGCUGUCACCCAUGAGACUCAGGCAUUGAAGACAUCCUGAGGUCAUCAUAGUGCAAGAUGCAGUGGGAGCAUUACCUACGAAGUGUUUGCAGUGUUCUUGUCCAUAGUGAACUUCAAUCUAAUGACGCCCGAAGCUCGAAGUUUCAGUUUACAGGAUAAACAACAUCCCACAGAAGCAAUCAGAGAAAUCUGGAAGGUGGGACAUGGUGUCUAUAAUUCCUUAGCAAUUGGGGCUGGGGUUGUGUCUCAGUGGCUAGUGCUCUCCUAGCACGUGUGAGGCCCUGGGUUCAAUCCUCAGCACCACAUAAUAAUAAAUAAAUAAAGGAAUAAAAUUUUUUAAAAAAUCUUCAGCAAUUGAACAAAUCAAUGGCAUGGGUCAGGGAAGAUUAUCCUAGAUUUCAAUGAGACUUCAGAGACAUAACACAAUGCAGUGUAAGAUCUUAUUUAAAUCCUGGAUAGAACUAACCAAAUGGAAUAAAAAAGCAUAUUCUGGAGCUAUAGCUCAUAUUACAGGGACAAGUAGUUAAAUUUGAGUAUGCAGGGUAUUAGAUGAUACUAAGGAAGAAUUGUUAACAUUGUGAGUUAGGAUUAUAAUAUUGUAGUGAGCAAAUUAUCUGCAGUAUUUAUGGGUGAACUGCCUUGCAAACUCUAAAUUACUUGAAAAUAUCUCUUCAAAAAUGAAAAGUAUACUAAAAUGUUAAUUAGUAAAUCUAGGUAAUGAGCAUAUGGGGGAAUUCAUUUUGCUAUAGGGUACUUUUGUGUGUAUAUUGGUAGUGGGGACUGAAACCAAGGGUUCUCCUAUACCACUGAGCCAGCCCUUUUGAUUUUUUAUUUUAAGUCGGGGUUUCACUAAGUUGCUUAGGGCCUUGCUCAGUUGCUGAGACUGGCUUUGAAUUUGCGAUCCUUCUGCCUCAGCCUCCUGAGCUGCCAGCAUGCAGGCAUGAGCCAGUAUACCUGAUUUGGCUAUUUCUUUUUAGGUUUAAAAAUGUGCAUAGUAAAAGUGAGAUGGUUUGG